Molecule: ribosomal RNA, 448 nt
Filed under: Streptomyces sp. HVXM-4-4
Lineage: Bacteria; Bacillati; Actinomycetota; Actinomycetes; Kitasatosporales; Streptomycetaceae
Also listed under: 2 other names
Description: bacterial SSU rRNA
Rfam family: Bacterial small subunit ribosomal RNA
Source: RNAcentral
GAACGAUGAACCACUUCGGUGGGGAUUAGUGGCGAACGGGUGAGUAACACGUGGGCAAUCUGCCCUUCACUCUGGGACAAGCCCUGGAAACGGGGUCUAAUACCGGAUAACACUCCUGUCCUCCUGGACGGGGGUUAAAAGCUCCGGCGGUGAAGGAUGAGCCCGCGGCCUAUCAGCUUGUUGGUGAGGUAAUGGCUCACCAAGGCGACGACGGGUAGCCGGCCUGAGAGGGCGACCGGCCACACUGGGACUGAGACACGGCCCAGACUCCUACGGGAGGCAGCAGUGGGGAAUAUUGCACAAUGGGCGAAAGCCUGAUGCAGCGACGCCGCGUGAGGGAUGACGGCCUUCGGGUUGUAAACCUCUUUCAGCAGGGAAGAAGCGAAAGUGACGGUACCUGCAGAAGAAGCGCCGGCUAACUACGUGCCAGCAGCCGGUCGUAAUUCAA